GUUUAACUCUGUUCGCCUUGUCGCAGAACCAGGGUUGACCAUUUCGUCCACCUCCCUCACCAGACUGCAAGGUGUGCUUUCUCUAGUGCUUCUAUGAGUGUGUUGAAAAUGAAGAUUAUUGUCAGGAAAUGAGAUUUCAUCAACAGACCCAACAGAAGCAGAGUGUGGGUGUGAGUUAGGGCAGGGAAUGGGGGUGGGUGGUUUGUGA
RNAcentral lists this unclassified non-coding RNA (208 nucleotides) under Hevea brasiliensis (rubber tree). The record is from RNAcentral. Lineage: Eukaryota; Viridiplantae; Streptophyta; Magnoliopsida; Malpighiales; Euphorbiaceae.